This 1749-nucleotide long non-coding RNA is filed under the name Olea europaea subsp. europaea. Lineage: Eukaryota; Viridiplantae; Streptophyta; Magnoliopsida; Lamiales; Oleaceae. The record is from RNAcentral.
CUGGAAUGUAAGUGGAUAUCCUCUUAGUGCAUACUUACAAUCUGCUUUGUUGAUUUUGUUGUACUAUUUACACUCUUUCCACUUGUGAUUCUUAUAGUAAAUUUAUCUAAACAAAAUGUACUUUUCGACUCCAUGGAUAGACAAGAAACUCAUCAAUAUGCUCGACCAUGCCAAGAGUUUUAUAAUCAAUAAUUCAGUCGGUUGGUUUCAAAACACACUCCACCAAUAUAACCAAUCCCAACUUAAAUUUACCUUCUUCGUCUUCGCAUGGAUGGAACGCUUCGUACAACAUUCUCAUAGUAAUUCUUUUCAUACCAUUGAAGUAAUGAUUUAUAAGACGAUGGUUAUUAUGAUUAAUCUCCAUACGUGGUUCAUGGCAUGGUAAUCCAGUAAUGAGACAAAAUUCUUGUAUACCAAACCUAGCAAUAUGGUCAUCUAAUCGUACCCAGACUUCGUUAUUCUUACCACAAUGUACAAGCCUCAUUACAAAUUCAUGUAUCAACCUACUGUUAAAUUGUUCAUCUUCUCCCCUAUAAAUAACUCCCAUAAAGAAUCCAUAAAAAUUACUACACAUAAGAGAAUAUUGUUGAUUUGCAUCUAUAAAUUCUAUAAAAUCUUUGAGAUAUUCUCAAUUUGGAUAUUGAUCGAUAGUGACGGAAAACCAUUGAUUUGGAGUCACACUAUAUUCUAGAGACAUCUGCAUAGACAAAUUCAAUAAAAUAGGCAAACAAAUUUAUAUUUAUAAGAAUUCCAUAAAUUCUAAUUCUAGAUCUAUAUCUCACAACUGCAACAAUUCAAUCAUUAUUAUCUAUGUUUUCAAAUGAUUAUGACAAAAGAAUACUAUAAUUCCAAGAGUUACACUUAAAGUAUGCUAUAUUUUAAGCCAUGAAGAUAAAUAGAAUGGGGAUCCAUUUGCUUAUAAAUGAAUAACUAAGGCUGCAAUUUUCCCUUCAUAUUCUAUCUUCCUUUUUUCUGCCUCUUGCAACAGUGUACCUGUCAUACUUGUCAUAGAAGUUUUAUUUUGGAAGUGGUUAUAGUUUUUAGCAUCCUUUGUUGAUAAAGAUUAUUAGUUGUGGCUGCACUAGAUCCUAGUUUUGAACAUUUUAGUAUCUUUUGAUCGUUGGCAUCACUUUCCUUUGUAUGAAGUAAAAAAAUAUUGCCUUUUGAUGGUGGGAUAUCAUCUAUAAUUGUCCUAGCUUAUUUAUUGAUUUUUUAAAAUUCUUUUUCAUGAAUGAUUGGUUUUUUUUCUAGCUCAAAAAGAUCACAAAUUAUUUAUAUAUGUACCUAAUAUCCACUCUCCAUAUACCUUCUUAAGGAGUGUUCCAAAAGAUAAAUUAUAUUUAAGAACAAAAUGUCUUCUAUUUACCAAAAUGAGAAACAUAUAUUUGUAACAACACAGGUCAUUACACUUUCUUCUACUAUUGUUAAUGCCUUUAUUUCUUUGUAUUUGUAUGAAACACCAAUUACUACAUAAAUACAUUUUGAUGUUGAUGUCUGAGAUUGAGAAGCAGAAUAGAAUAUAAAAAAGAGAAAAAAAAAAAAAAAGAUAACAAUGACUCCGUGCACAGAGAGUUCAGCUAGACUUUCUGUGCACUCAUAGAAAACUCUCUGCGCACGGAGAUCUCUAUACACCAGUCAAAAUAAUGGUUACCUUUUUCUAGCUAAAUGUUUGGACACCUUUUUCUAUGUUUGGACACUUUUCUCUACUUUGGACACCUUUCUCUUCAGCAAAUAUGAGAAGACCUUCUG